UAGUCCACGCCGUAAACGAUGAGUGCUAGUCGCUGGGACAAUAGUUUCAGUGUCGUAGCUAACGCAUUAAGCACUCCGCCUGGGAAGUACGGUCGCAAGAUUAAAACUCAAAUAAAUUGACGGGGGCCCGCACAAGCGGUGGAGCAUGUGGUUUAAUUCGAAGCAACGCGAAGAACCUUACCAGACCUUGACAUGGUAUGUUUGAAUUACAGAAUCGUAAUUCUUCAGUUCGGCUGGCAUACACACAGGUGCUGCAUGGUUGUCGUCAGCUCGUGUCGUGAGAUGUUGGGUUAAGUCCCGCAACGAGCGCAACCCUCAUUUUUAGUUGCCAUCAGGUUAUGCUGGGCACUCUAGAAAAACUGCCGGUGAUAAGCUGGAGGAAGGCGGGGGAUGACGUCAAGUCCUCAUGGGCCCUUACGGGGUCUGGGGCUACACACGUGCUACAAUGGGUGGUGACAGAGGGGCAGGCAAUA
RNAcentral lists this ribosomal RNA (473 nucleotides) under uncultured bacterium. RNAcentral's name for it is "bacterial SSU rRNA". It matches the Rfam family "Bacterial small subunit ribosomal RNA", at positions 791 to 1255 of the family's 1533-position model. The record is from RNAcentral.